GCACGAAGUUAGCCGGUGCUUCCUCUGAUGGUACCGUCAUAUUCUAUGUCUAUUAAACACAAACUUUUCUUCCCAUCUGACAGGAGUUUACAAUCCGAAGACCUUCAUCCUCCACGCGGCGUCGCUGCGUCAGGCUUUCGCCCAUUGCGCAAUAUUCCCCACUGCUGCCUCCCGUAGGAGUCAGGCCCGUGUCUCAGUGCCUAUGUGACCGUACACCCUCUCAGGCCGGUUAACCGUCAUAGCCUUGGUGAGCUUCUACCUCACCAACAAGCUGAUAGUCCGCAAGCUCAUCCUAUAGCGGCGACAUAAAAGACGCCUUUCUCCCCAAAGGGACUUAUGCAGUAUUAACCUCAAUUUCUCGAGGGUAUUCCUCACUACAGGGCAGAUUCUUACGUGUUACUCACCCGUCCGCCGCUGUACUCAUUCCCGAAGGAACUUUCUCGCUCGACUUGCAUGUGUUAGGCACGCCGCCAGCGUUCAUU
RNAcentral lists this ribosomal RNA (482 nucleotides) under uncultured bacterium. Its description in RNAcentral is "partial 16S rRNA". The record is from RNAcentral.